RNAcentral lists this transfer RNA (76 nucleotides) under Bacteroidota bacterium. Its description in RNAcentral is "Bacteroidetes bacterium (sediment metagenome) tRNA-Lys". It matches the Rfam family "tRNA". Rfam says of the family: Transfer RNA (tRNA) molecules are approximately 80 nucleotides in length. Their secondary structure includes four short double-helical elements and three loops (D, anti-codon, and T loops). RNAcentral also lists the same sequence under 1 other name. Lineage: Bacteria; Pseudomonadati; Bacteroidota. The record is from RNAcentral.
GAUUCAGUAGCUCAGUUGGUAGAGCACAUCCCUUUUAAGGAUGGGGUCCUGGGUUCGAUCCCCAGCUGAAUCACCA